CCUACGGGCGGCAGCAGUGGGGAAUAUUGGACAAUGGGGGGAACCCUGAUCCAGCCAUGCCGCGUGUGUGAAGAAGGCCCUCGGGUUGUAAAGCACUUUCAGUGAGGAAGAACGCCUGGUGGUUAAUACCCAUCAGGAAAGACAUCACUCACAGAAGAAGCACCGGCUAACUCCGUGCCAGCAGCCGCGGUAAUACGGAGGGUGCGAGCGUUAAUCGGAAUUACUGGGCGUAAAGCGCGCGUAGGUGGCUUGAUAAGCCGGUUGUGAAAGCCCCGGGCUCAACCUGGGAACGGCAUCCGGAACUGUCAAGCUAGAGUGAAGGAGAGGAAGGUAGAAUUCCCGGUGUAGCGGUGAAAUGCGUAGAGAUCGGGAGGAAUACCAGUGGCGAAGGCGGCCUUCUGGACUGACACUGACACUGAGGUGCGAAAGCGUGGGUAGCAAACAGGAUUAGAUACCCUUGUAGUC
This 465-nucleotide ribosomal RNA is filed under the name Vreelandella stevensii. RNAcentral describes it as "partial 16S ribosomal RNA". It matches the Rfam family "Bacterial small subunit ribosomal RNA", at positions 338 to 795 of the family's 1533-position model. The record is from RNAcentral. Lineage: Bacteria; Pseudomonadati; Pseudomonadota; Gammaproteobacteria; Oceanospirillales; Halomonadaceae.